GAAACCCUAAAAAUUUCUCACUUGCGCCGCCAUGGUCCCCCGUACAGUCAACCCCAGUCAACCAUAACCAUAGUUUAUAUAUAAUUUUUUUUCCAGAUUUCCUUCAUUUCUCCCAACUUCUCCCCACUCCUAGCUCCCCAACUUCCCUCCGGCGAUUUGAGCACCUCCGGUCAUCUUUCCAAGGUAUUUUACUCCUCCUCCUCCUCUUCUUCUUCUUCAUCUUCUUCUUCUUCUUCUUCUCCAUCUUCUUAUUCUUCUUCUUGUCCUCUUAUUUUUCAUCUCUUCUUUUUCUUUUCUUCUUCUUCUUCUUCUUCAUUUAAUCUGCAUUUAAUCUUUUUUAUUUUUAUCUUUUUCUUUUGUUCUUCAUUUGAUUGUAUUGGUGUUUGAUUUAAUUAAGGGUUUAUCUAUUUGGGGGUUUAUGUAUUUAGUAUUUGGGGUGUUUAUUUGGGGGUUUAUGUAUUUGAGGGUUUUAUUUUAAGGUUAGAUGUUAGGUUUUGAAAUUGGUUAUUUUUUGGUUGAUUUAAUUAGGGUUGAUUUACUGUUUUAAUUAGGGUUAAAUUUAUGAUUUAAUUAGGGUUAAGUUUAUGGUUGACUUACUGUUAAUUAGGGAUUUAAUUAGGGUUAUGUUUAUGGUUGAUUUAUGUAUGUUGAUGAAAUAAAAUGGUUAAAUUAAAUGAAAAAAAUGAAAUCAAGUUUAUCGGAUUUAUAUGUUUAUGGUUAAAUUAAAUGAAAUGCAUGAAGUGAAGUUAAAUUAGGAUUGAUUUACUAUAUUUAUGUAUGUUGAUUUAUGUAUAUUUAUGGUUAAAUUAAAUGAAAUGCAUGAAGUGAAGUUAAAUUAGGAUUGAUUUACUAUAUUUAUGUAUGUUGAUCUAUGUAUGUUUAUGUAUGUUGAUACAAUAGGUUGAUUUAUUUAUGUUAUUUUGUAGUUUUAGUUUUAUUUAGUUUUAGUUUAUUUAGUUAGUUUUAGUUUAAGUUUUAUUUAUUUAGUUUUAGUAGUUUUAGUUUAUUUAGUUAGUUUUAGUUUAAGUUUUAUUUAUUUAGUUUUAGUUUUACUGUUUUAGUUUAUUUACUUUUAUUUUUAGUUUUAGUUUUAUUUUAUUUUAGUUUAGUUUAUUUAAUUACAAAUUAAUUAAUUAAUUUAAUUUAAUUGCGAUUUUAAUUAUGUUAUUUAAAUUAUUUUGUUAUAGAUUGGAUUUCUUCGCCGCCGGUCAUCCACCGAACUGUUUUUCCAUCGGACAACUCUCGGCUGGUGUUUUGAAGGUUUGUAUAAUUUUUAAAUUUAAGUGUUAUAUGUGUUAUGUAUUAUAUGUGUGUUAUAUCUUGUAUUUUGGUUAUUUAUGUAUAUGAUGUUUUAUGUAUUUGUGGGUUUCAUUAGGGGAUUAAUUUGAUAAUGUUAUUUUGGGGGUUUAUGUAUAUGAUGUUUGAGUUUUAGGGUUUUAUUUUUUAAUUUGGGAUUAAGUAUUAGGGUUUUGAUUUUAUUAUUUAAUUAGGGUUUUAAAUUUUUGUUUUUAUAUUUAAUUUUUUUGUUGUUUUAUCUACUGUUUUGAAAUUUUUGUUUGUUUAUAAAUUUUAUAAUUAAAGGUUUUUUUAAUUCACUGUUAUAAUUUAUUUUCAUUUUAGUGUUUUGUUCAAUUUUUGUUUGUUUUAAAUCAUUGUUUUAAUGUUUAUUUAAGGUUUUAUUUUAGUGUAUUAUUUACUUAUAUUAUUUGUUUUUUGUGAUAUUGAUAAAUAAGAAAGGUCAUUACAUAUUAUGUGUUGUAUAUGUUAAUCGAUAUAUAAGUUUGUGAUAUGUUAUGUGUUAUAUAUGUUGAUAUGUUUUGUAGGAUUUGCGAUAGUCAUAUUGCGUUUUGCGAUAGUCAGA
This 1861-nucleotide long non-coding RNA is filed under the name Zostera marina. RNAcentral's name for it is "long non-coding RNA (ZMAR_LNC004802)". Lineage: Eukaryota; Viridiplantae; Streptophyta; Magnoliopsida; Alismatales; Zosteraceae. The record is from RNAcentral.